CAUUAGUCUGGCUAGGGUGUCAUAUUCCUUCUCAUGUCUAGGUGACGUUAUUGAUGUGCGUAAUGUACGAAGUCGACUAUUUGUAUGUAUAACCUUUUCUUCAUAAACUGCAUAAUCUAAAUCCGAAUCUGCAUAGCCCAGAUCAUUACUAAAUUUAUACAUUGCUGUGCGAGUAAUGUGCAGUUGCAGUUGCUAGUACAGCUGAUGAAAACUCAACCGGCUAUAGCCAUAAAAUUUUUAAAGGGUAAUAGGAGGAGUUCAAUCAAUGGUGCAUAACGAACUUAAUAUCGCGGAGCCGCCUGUAAAAAAUAUUGUGGAAUAAAAGAAGGCCGAUCAAAAAAAUUACAUGCGUCGCAAAGUUUGAAGGCCAGAAAACACGGCUGGAGGUGGCCUUAAUGCAGAGCAUAAAUUGUCCCAUCACGAACGAAUGAAAGAGUUGGUGGAAUGGUUUUUUGCGAGAAAGUUCGGAUUGCUGGAGUGGGAGGCCUUACCAAACGGCGUGUAUAUUUGCUCUGGUCUUGAAUUUAACUACGUUGAUGAAGAAUUCGUUGCUAUUCUUCUACAUUUGCUACAGCAGCGAAUAGAUAAAGUACCACAGUACCCACGAUUUAAGUGUAAUUUUUUAUUUCAAUAACAAUUGCUCUUUCAUCAAACUACAAUACACUGUAAUACUAAACA
Ceratitis capitata (Mediterranean fruit fly) is the source of this 678-nucleotide long non-coding RNA. RefSeq lists it as uncharacterized. The record is from RefSeq and is a predicted model, not a curated record. Lineage: Eukaryota; Metazoa; Arthropoda; Insecta; Diptera; Tephritidae. The transcript has 3 exons.